Non-coding RNA from Schistosoma mansoni, 46 nucleotides. NCBI's taxonomy places the organism in Eukaryota, Metazoa, Platyhelminthes, Trematoda, Strigeidida, Schistosomatidae. The record is from Rfam.
GCACUGCUGAGGAGUCCCACACUAGGACGAAACAGCCGUCCAAUGC